This 508-nucleotide ribosomal RNA is filed under the name uncultured bacterium. RNAcentral describes it as "partial 16S ribosomal RNA". The stretch from base 20 to 332 matches the Rfam family "Bacterial small subunit ribosomal RNA", at positions 47 to 358 of the family's 1533-position model. The record is from RNAcentral.
GACGAACGCUGGCGGCGUGCUUAACACAUGCAAGUCGAACGGAAAGGCCCUGCUUUUGUGGGGUGCUCGAGUGGCGAACGGGUGAGUAACACGUGAGUAACCUGCCCUUGACUUUGGGAUAACUUCAGGAAACUGGGGCUAAUACCGGAUAGGAGCUCCUGCUGCAUGGUGGGGGUUGGAAAGUUUCGGCGGUUGGGGAUGGACUCGCGGCUUAUCAGCUUGUUGGUGGGGUAGUGGCUUACCAAGGCUUUGACGGGUAGCCGGCCUGAGAGGGUGACCGGCUAGCGGGGGAGGGAAGGUGGACACAGACGACGGAGGGAGCGGGCGGUGGGGAAUAGUGGACGACGGGAGGAAGACGGACGGAGGAGGCCGGCGGGCGGGUGGGGCGCUUGGGGGUGGGAACCCGUGGGGGCGGGUGCAGGAGCAGGGGGGACGGUAGGGGAAGAAAACGCAGCGGCUAACGACAGGCAAGCAGCGGCGUGAAUAGUGGAAGAACCAACGUCUGACC